UGAGGUGCUGUGGUACCAUGAGGCGCGGGUGCUUAAGAGAUUACAGCAUCGGAAACACACAAUGUUAAAAAACGGAACUUUUGUAAUAAGAAUGAGGAUCAUUUCAUUGAUCUUCCUAGAAAAAAGAUUUGUAAUUUCACUAAUAAGAACAUGAAGGAGGUUAAGAAAUCUCCAAAACAGUUGGCUGCUUACAUAAAUAGAAUAGUUGGACAAACUGUGAAAAGCUCAGAUAAACUGUGUAAAGUGAUCUAUGGCAGAAAGUUCCCUGGAAGUGGGGGCUGUGACAUGGCAAAUAAAGAGAAUGAACUGGCUUGCACAGGCCACCUGCCUGAAAAAUUACACCAUGAUAGUCAAACAUACUUACUUAACUCCAGUGAUUCUGGUUCUUCACAGACAGAAAGCCUAUCAUUAAAACACAGUAGGUUUUUUCCUGAGGUUUCUCAAUUUUUGUUCAGCAGGAAUUUGAGAUUGAAUGUAGCUUUAACUUUCUGGAGAAAGAGAAGUAUAAGUGGACUUGCAGAUUAUUUGUUGAGGAUAGAAGAUCUUGGCGUUGUAGUAGAGUGCCUUCCUGUGCGCACCAAUAGUUUACAAGAAGAAAAACAAUAUAUCUCACUUUGCUGCUGUGUAGACUUGCUGGCUCUAGUAAAGUCACUACUUACAAUCGCAUUUGAAGAAUAUGUCAUAGUUGGUUUAAACUGGCUUCAAGCAGUCACUAAAAGGUGGUGGUCAGAACUAUCAUCCAAAACAGAAAUUAUAAAUGAUGGAAAUACUCGGAUUUUAAAACAACAAUUAAAUGGAUUAUGGGAACAGGAAAACUAUCUUACUUUGGUUCCAGGUUAUACUGGUAAUAUAGCUAAGGAUGUAGAUGCUUAUUUAUUCCAGUUACAUUGAGAAAUUUCAUCUACUAAUGAGCACUUGGUUUUUCAAAACAUUCCUGAACUACAUAAUUAACAAAAAUAAAAAAAAAUCUGGUCUGAGAACUGUGAACUGUGGAAGAAAUCAAAACUAUUUUUUCUUUUAAAAAGCCACAUAAUGAAACCACGAAUGAAACCCUAACAAUCUUCUUCACAUUGAAGUGGAAAAAUAUCCAAAAGGAGCAGCUUCAACUUCACAGAGGUGAAAACGCACUAUGAAAAUUGUUCACCUUUGCUGCAUUUGGGAGUUAUAUGGUUAUUUGGUAACAUUAAGAACUACUGGAUUUUAAUGCAGUCCUGCAUAAGAAUAUAAUUUAUACUAUGUGAAAAAAUAAGAGAGGACUUAUUACUAGGAACCACCAAGACCAAUCAUCAUUAACUUUGUUAAGGUUAUAUUUUAUUCUAAGAAAAAAAAACAAAACUUAAAUGUGUGCAGCUGUUUUCUUAUGAUGAAAAGACUGAAAGUUUAAAACAUGGAAAAAUCAAUAUUAAUUUUUUUUGUUCACA
Sapajus apella (tufted capuchin) is the source of this 1421-nucleotide RNA transcript. It is a transcript of the gene named KATNB1-like protein 1 pseudogene, with no coding region annotated. NCBI's taxonomy places the organism in Eukaryota, Metazoa, Chordata, Mammalia, Primates, Cebidae. The record is from RefSeq and is a predicted model, not a curated record. The transcript has a single exon.